GGCCCUACGGGGCGCAGCAGUCGCGAAAACUUUGCAAUACACGAAAGUGUGACAGGGCUAUCCCGAGUGCCAUCCGCUGAGGAAGGCUUUUACCCAGUCUAGAAAGCUGGGGGAAUAAGGAGAGGGCAAGUCUGGUGUCAGCCGCCGCGGUAAUACCAGCUCUCCGAGUGGUGUGGAUGCUUAUUGGGCCUAAAGCAUCCGUAGCUGGCUAAGUUAGUCCCCUGUUAAAUCCAACGAAUUAAUCGUUGGAUCGCGGGGGAUACUGCUUGGCUAGGGGACGAGAGAGGCAGACGGUAUUUCCGGGGUAGGGGUGAAAUCCUAUAAUCCCGGGAAGACCACCAGUGGCGAAGGCUGUCUGCUAGAACGCGCCCGACGGUGAGGGAUGAAAGCUGGGGGAGCGAACCGGAUUAGAUACCCGGGUAGUCCCAGCUGUAAACGAUGCAGGCUAGGUGUUUGGACGGCCACGUGCCGUUCUAGUGCCGCAGGGAAGCUGUUAAGCCUGCCGCCUGGGGAGUACGAUCGCAAGAUUGAAACUUAAAGGAAUUGGCGGGGGAGCACCACAAGGGGUGAAGCUUGCGGUUUAAUUGGAGUCAACGCCGGAAAUCUCAC
RNAcentral lists this ribosomal RNA (609 nucleotides) under uncultured archaeon. RNAcentral describes it as "bacterial SSU rRNA". It matches the Rfam family "Archaeal small subunit ribosomal RNA", at positions 319 to 930 of the family's 1478-position model. The record is from RNAcentral.